ACAUAAUGCACUUGUUUUAAAUCAAAGGCUCUUGAUAUGGAUAGAAGGGGCAGAGGGCAAUAGAAAUUGCUGGAACUGACAUGGCUUGCUGGGCUCUGAGCUCCCCAGCUGCGUGAUUCAGCCUGGCCUUGCCUCCUCUCUGGGAAUUUCGCUAUCCUCGGUUUGUUUUUCUGCUCUGCGAAAACGAGAGACGCCACAGUUCCUGAGUUGCAGGGAUUGCUCUGAAGGUUUUCGCUGGGAUUUAGGGCGAUUGAGGAAAUGCGCAGGCGCUUAGACGGUUUCCAAUCCACCCCGCUGACCACGCAGGACGCAGCCCGGAUUCUCCGAAAACCACUCUGGCCCGUGACCCCCUGCUCUCCGGGGCAAGCUGACUCUUAACCCAGAGGCGGCAGUGUCUCCGGAUCCCCCAUCCUGGGCUGAGGUCGCCGGAGGCUAGGGUCUGAGAUCCCCCGGGAAAGAAGCUCGAUGGGCUGGUUCAUUAGGGACCCAGCUUGGCGGCAGAUGACGAAACCGGGAAGGGCUUCCGCCUUCAGAAAGCGCAUCCCGUAAAUGAGAUGGCCCAGCGGGAUGGCAAGGGCACACGUUCGGGGAGAUUUGAGACGCUCUUGCAGAUCAUUCCAGCUCCGGAGUGCAGUGGCGGAGCUGGGAGAAAUCGGUCAGACCCCAGCUUCGGAGGCGAUCCCUGGGUUUGGAUCACACUUCGCAGAAGAAACUCACCGCCCGACCUUGGGAGCCUCUGCCCGACCGGAAAAUGGAGUUUCCGGAGCCCACCUCUAAACCGGGUGUGGCACAAAGCAAACGGACGAAAGCGCUAGUCUUAGUAGGCGUCAGGUUCCAGUCUCCUCACCUCAGUCUUCGCACCACCGUUUUCCGCUCCCUUCCGACUUGUUCCCAGGGUCACCGGAGCCCCUCACCCGGAAAGAGCCCUCGGAAAGGUAUCAUCAAUGGCUACUUGGUUUCUUUGUGCAACAGAAAGCAGAGUUUGAUUCUUCCCCGCUUCCUCUACCCAUUACCAAUUUAUUUUCAUGGUGAUGCCUCAAAACCCAAGCCUGACCCCCGUUCCGUAGCCAGUGGAAAGGCAGACUGCAAAGCAAAGGGCACUUGAAUGGACUACCUUCCCCCUACAAACCGAAAAGAGCAUUUGUUCGAGAUCGAUCUCCUUGGAAGGGAGAUAGGAAUGGUAAACGGAAUGUGAUUUGACACAGUCCUGAAAGGGCAACAGGCAUCCAUCUAUCCUGCACCCCAUCCCCCAAGUGAAUGCAUCCAGUUACCAUCUCCAUUUGCAAAGAACUAUAUAGGUC
Long non-coding RNA from Bos taurus (domestic cattle), 1301 nucleotides. Lineage: Eukaryota; Metazoa; Chordata; Mammalia; Artiodactyla; Bovidae. The record is from Ensembl.